CAUGCUAAGAUAAAUAAUAUUAUUUAAUAUGCACAUGAGAUAUGAAAAUAAAACUUACAUCGAUCUAAUCGAUGCUGCCACGCAGAUCUAACCGUUAGAUCUAACAAACACGAUCAAAGAAGUUUGGAAAUCAUUGCCAAACUAAAAACUCUUGAUUUUUGCUAGUCCAAUGCUUGGAAAGCAUCUCAUUCAGAUUGCUUGCAGCCACACAAAGUUAUCCGACCUCUACAGAACGUCCACAUG
RNAcentral lists this long non-coding RNA (243 nucleotides) under Elaeis guineensis (African oil palm). RNAcentral describes it as "long non-coding RNA (EGUI_LNC034643)". Lineage: Eukaryota; Viridiplantae; Streptophyta; Magnoliopsida; Arecales; Arecaceae. The record is from RNAcentral.